UGGGGAAUAUUGGACAAUGGGGGCAACCCUGAUCCAGCAAUGCCGCGUGUGUGAAGAAGGUUUUCGGAUUGUAAAGCACUUUCGACGGGGACGAUGAUGACGGUACCCGUAGAAGAAGCCCCGGCUAACUUCGUGCCAGCAGCCGCGGUAAUACGAAGGGGGCUAGCGUUGCUCGGAAUGACUGGGCGUAAAGGGCGUGUAGGCGGUUUGUACAGUCAGAUGUGAAA
Molecule: ribosomal RNA, 227 nt
Filed under: uncultured bacterium
Lineage: Bacteria
Description: partial 16S ribosomal RNA
Rfam family: Bacterial small subunit ribosomal RNA
Source: RNAcentral